GACGAGGUGGCCGAGGGGUUAAGGCGUGGGACUGGUAAGCCAAUGUGCUCCGCACACGUGGGUUUGAAUCCCAUCCUCGUCG
This 82-nucleotide transfer RNA is filed under the name Pollicipes pollicipes. RNAcentral describes it as "tRNA-Thr". It matches the Rfam family "tRNA". Rfam says of the family: Transfer RNA (tRNA) molecules are approximately 80 nucleotides in length. Lineage: Eukaryota; Metazoa; Arthropoda; Thecostraca; Pollicipedomorpha; Pollicipedidae. The record is from RNAcentral.